Molecule: ribosomal RNA, 391 nt
Filed under: uncultured bacterium
Lineage: Bacteria
Description: bacterial SSU rRNA
Rfam family: Bacterial small subunit ribosomal RNA
Source: RNAcentral
GACGAACGCUGGCGGCGUGCUUAACACAUGCAAGUCGAGCGGUAAGGCCCUUUCGGGGGUACACGAGCGGCGAACGGGUGAGUAACACGUGGGUGACCUGCCUUUAGCUCUGGGAUAAGCCUGGGAAACUGGGUCUAAUACCGGAUAUGACUCCACGAUGCAUGUUGUGGGGUGGAAAGCCUUGUGCGGCUGGAGAUGGGCCCGCGGCCUAUCAGCUUGUUGGUGGGGUGANGGCCUACCAAGGCGACGACGGGUAGCCGGCCUGAGAGGGCGACCGGCCACACUGGGACUGAGACACGGCCCAGACUCCUACGGGAGGCAGCAGUGGGGAAUCUUGCGCAAUGGGCGAAAGCCUGACGCAGCGACGCCGCGUGAGGGAUGACGGCCUGGU